Trichomycterus rosablanca is the source of this 233-nucleotide long non-coding RNA. RefSeq lists it as uncharacterized. The transcript is spliced from 3 exons. NCBI's taxonomy places the organism in Eukaryota, Metazoa, Chordata, Actinopteri, Siluriformes, Trichomycteridae. The record is from RefSeq and is a predicted model, not a curated record.
UCGCCACUCUGUUCUCUCUACCGCUCUGCUGUAGAGCCUCAUCUAUCUUUAAUAAUGCAGUCAGCAGAAAAGGGAGACGUCACCCCUGUGGAUCUACAACAUGAAGAAUUUCAGAAGAAAAUAAUACAAAAGGAGGAAGAUGAUGAUGAUUUCUUCUGUGAAGUCACUUUAAUCCCUGCAGAACUUGUGGCUUCUGUGGAACUGCUCUUCUCAGAGGACCAACAGUGUGGAGG